CGAUUUCCCUGAUAUUUAAUUUUGAGCUUUCAAAUAGUUACAUUUGAGUGUCAAUUUUGAAAGUGAUUCAGGAAACCGCUUUGGACGGAUUAAAUUAAUAAAGUGUUACAUAAACCUUUAUGUGUUAGUUUUCCAUUUAAUGUAAGACGAUUAAAUUCCGCAUGCCUAUCUGUAAGACAAAAUUGAAAAUAAGAUUACUAUUGCCCAACAGACUGAAAGAUGUUAUUUACAAAAUUCAUAUUUUUU
RNAcentral lists this long non-coding RNA (246 nucleotides) under Mytilus galloprovincialis (Mediterranean mussel). The record is from RNAcentral. Lineage: Eukaryota; Metazoa; Mollusca; Bivalvia; Mytilida; Mytilidae.